AAGUCUGUUUGUUUGUCAGCACAAAGUGGAAUUGCUCCCUGCGGCCUGGCAAUUCAAAGAGAGGGCCUCAGAACCGAGAGGCGAGGGAUCAUUGUGCCAAGCUAGUUAGAGGAAUGUAAACGUUUGCAGUCCUGACUGCCAGCAGCACGGCUGGAAGGUCUGGGGGCAUCCAGUAAACGGACAGAGCAGGGGAGAGAGCAACCAUUUCAGCUUCCAAAUGGCCCGUUGCAAGGGGAGCUUGUUUUCUCCAAAACCAGCCGCGAGGCGCGGGCCUCAACUCUAACCUUUGUCGGAAAGCAGAAAAAAGAAAAUUUUCCAUCCCCGGAGAAUAAAGUGUACAGUUCCUUGAGAACGGAUUGCCUGUCUCCUUUCCUGCCCACCUACUAUGAAGAGCAGCUCCUCCCACCUGCCCAUAAAAGCCAAGUGCAUGUUACCAGCAGCUGAUCAGAGCCCUUUCUCAGCCCUCUCUCUACUGUUGGGAGCCACUGAUCUUCUCUCCUAGAAUCACACAUGCUCAAGGUAAGAAAAACUUCUUCAGUCAUUUGACUAUCCAGGCUUUUGCUGGGG
RNAcentral lists this long non-coding RNA (567 nucleotides) under Ornithorhynchus anatinus (platypus). Its description in RNAcentral is "lncRNA (ENSOANG00000038132.1)". The record is from RNAcentral. Lineage: Eukaryota; Metazoa; Chordata; Mammalia; Monotremata; Ornithorhynchidae.